This 171-nucleotide non-coding RNA is filed under the name Microbispora rosea. Lineage: Bacteria; Bacillati; Actinomycetota; Actinomycetes; Streptosporangiales; Streptosporangiaceae. The record is from RNAcentral.
GUCAUCGUGAGGUGGGGUCUGGAGGAAGCCCGAGGCGAAACCCUGCACCGAGGGACACGAACCGCGUAUGAGGCGGGGCGAUCUGGGUGAGCCCGCAGCGGAGGGUGAAGCCCGUCACCAUCGACAGGAUCGUCACGUAGACGCGGCGGGCGUAGGGGGAAAGUGAUCGUU